Molecule: ribosomal RNA, 274 nt
Filed under: uncultured bacterium
Lineage: Bacteria
Description: partial 16S ribosomal RNA
Rfam family: Bacterial small subunit ribosomal RNA
Source: RNAcentral
AUACGAAGGUCCCGAGCGUUAUUCGGAAUCACUGGGCGUAAAGGACGCGUAGGCGGGUUUGUAAGUCAGGUGUGAAAUCCUACAGCUCAACUGUAGAACUGCACUUGAAACUACAGACCUAGAGUAUGGAAGGGGCAGAUGGAAUUAGCGGUGUAGGGGUAAAAUCCGUAGAUAUCACUAGGAAUACCGAAAGCGAAGGCGAUCUGCUGGGACAUUACUGACGCUGAGGCGUGAAAGCGUGGGGAGCAAACAGGAUUAGAAACCCCAGUAGUCC